This 253-nucleotide ribosomal RNA is filed under the name uncultured bacterium. Its description in RNAcentral is "partial 16S ribosomal RNA". It matches the Rfam family "Bacterial small subunit ribosomal RNA", at positions 524 to 776 of the family's 1533-position model. The record is from RNAcentral.
UACAGAGGUCUCAAGCGUUGUUCGGAUUCAUUGGGCGUAAAGGGUGUGUAGGUGGCACCGUAAGUCGGGUGUGAAAUUUCGGAGCUUAACUCCGAAACUGCAUUCGAUACUGCGGUGCUUGAGGACUGGAGAGGAGACUGGAAUUCAUGGUGUAGCAGUGAAAUGCGUAGAGAUCAUGAGGAAGACCAGUGGCGAAGGCGGGUCUCUGGACAGUUCCUGACACUGAGGCACGAAGGCCAGGGGAGCAAACGGG